AUUUUUUUAGUAUAAAAAGUACAGGUGACUUCCAAUCACCUAGCCUUGGUUCAACCCCAGGAAAAAAUA
RNAcentral lists this transfer RNA (69 nucleotides) under Hyla helenae. RNAcentral describes it as "tRNA-Gly". It matches the Rfam family "tRNA". Rfam says of the family: Transfer RNA (tRNA) molecules are approximately 80 nucleotides in length. Their secondary structure includes four short double-helical elements and three loops (D, anti-codon, and T loops). Further hydrogen bonds mediate the characteristic L-shaped molecular structure. tRNAs have two regions of fundamental functional importance: the anti-codon, which is responsible for specific mRNA codon recognition, and the 3' end, to which the tRNAs corresponding amino acid is attached (by aminoacyl-tRNA synthetases). tRNAs cope with the degeneracy of the genetic code in two manners: having more than one tRNA (with a specific anti-codon) for a particular amino acid; and 'wobble' base-pairing, i.e. permitting non-standard base-pairing at the 3rd anti-codon position. RNAcentral also lists the same sequence under 1 other name. Lineage: Eukaryota; Metazoa; Chordata; Amphibia; Anura; Hylidae. The record is from RNAcentral.